This 465-nucleotide ribosomal RNA is filed under the name uncultured bacterium. Its description in RNAcentral is "partial 16S ribosomal RNA". It matches the Rfam family "Bacterial small subunit ribosomal RNA", at positions 28 to 507 of the family's 1533-position model. The record is from RNAcentral.
GACGAACGCUGGCGGCGUGCUUAACACAUGCAAGUCGAACGGAAAGGCCCCUUUGGGGGUACUCGAGUGGCGCACGGGUGCGUAACACGUGAGUAACCUGCCCUUGACUUCGGGAUAACUUCAGGAAACUGGGGCUAAUACCGGAUAGGAAUCCUUGCUGCAUGGUGGGGGUUGGAAAGCUUCGGCGGUUUUGGAUGGACUCGCGGCUUAUCAGCUUGUUGGUGGGGUAGUGGCUUACCAAGGCUUUGACGGGUAGCCGGCCUGAGAGGGCGACCGGCCACAUUGGGACUGAGAUACGGCCCAGACUCCUACGGGAGGCAGCAGUGGGGAAGAUUGCACAAUGGGCGGAAGCCUGAUGCAGCAACGCCGCGUGCGGGAUGACGGCCUUCGGGUUGUAAACCGCUUUCAGCAGGGGCGAAGCUUGUGGUGACGGUACCUGCAGAAGAAGCACCGGCUAACUACGUG